This 269-nucleotide ribosomal RNA is filed under the name uncultured Sebacina. RNAcentral describes it as "partial large subunit ribosomal RNA". The record is from RNAcentral. Lineage: Eukaryota; Fungi; Basidiomycota; Agaricomycetes; Sebacinales; Sebacinaceae.
ACGCUUGAAGUCAGGCGCGCCCUCGGAGACUCAGCCUAGCCUCUGCUUGGUUUACUUCGCCUUGGGUGGGUCAACAUCAGUGUCGGUCAGAGGGGAAAGACUUGGGGAAGGUAGCAGCAUUUAUGCUGUGUUAUAGCCUCUUGUUGUAUACUUUGACUGGAACUGAGGACCGCAGCGCGCCUUUACGGCCGGGGCUUGCCCACGUACGCGCUUAGGAUGUUGGCAAAAUGGCUUUAAGCGACCCGUCUUGAAACACGGACCAAGGAGUC